GUUUUAACAUAUUGUUAUGUGUUUUGGCAUUGCCUGUCCCAUAUUUUUUGUAAAUAUCACAGUAUCACAGUAAAAAUUAUUGGGAGGGACAAAUCCUAAUUGCGGACAUUAUAUAUUGAUACAUUUAAUGAAACCUUGUUGAUGCACUUUUACUUUAAUGAAGGUCCCAAGUUUAGCCAGUUGAGCUUCUGUGUCAUUAGGGCGUGAAAUGAACACAUUUUACAGCCAAAUGCAGUGGUCUGUAAGUCAGCCAAUGAUAUGAGUCGCCCUUGUUAGUUCAACAGCUUUUUUGGGAUUAUUUUCUAUUUUUACAAAAAUUUUAGAGUCUUAAGAACUUAGAGGUGGGGUUGUUUAAUUAUUGCCAGAUGACAAAAAAAAUCCAUCUGGGAAACUAUACCUGCUUGACAGCACAAUCAUGUUGAUAUUCUAUAUGAAAUUAUUUAACCAAGAAAUAUUUAUUCUGGCUGAGAUUUAGAAAAUUAGAUUUAUAGUUAAAUGGUGUCAGCGGUACAGAGAAAAUACCCAUAUUUUAAAUUUACAUGUUCUGUCUUUAAGAAAAACGUUUAUGUGAUUUUCAGCUCAAUUUAUAUAAUUAGGAUUUACAUUCUGGGACAAGGCUGCACAGUUCUGAACAAUAUGUUUCUCAUGCUGUCAUACAGAAACUUACAAAAAUGGGAAUUUAUACCAAUUAAACAUAUGGUGGUUUGAGAUCAUAUUUGUUGCUUAAAAAGAUGAAAUGCAACAUUAUUUCUAUUGUGCAUUUGGAUGUCAUAGCUCUUAAUGUAACAGCUAAAAAUAUGACACUCGUAAUCUUAAUGAGGUGAUUGUGCAGCCCUGCAGACAGGACAGUUUGGCAGCUGAAUGUGGAUGGAACCGAAUGUUUGCCUGAAUGUGUUGAAAUAUUUAUGUUUCACCUGUUGUUUCGUUGCAUCGGAGUGAUAUAAUAGUAACUGAAAGAUGUCUUAAGGUGGACUUUGCCUGUGGAUUUGCUGAAAGAAAACACAUUUGGGAUGUGCAAGGAGACCUGUUAAUUAUUGUGUUCUGUUAAAAAUCAGCAGCUAGUGUACAGGCUGGAUAUUCGUUCUGUUUUGUGCGUUCUGUUUGCAAAUGUUUAUUGAAAAGAAUCACUACUUUUAAUAUUCUGCCCUGUAAAAGGGGCAUAUCAUGUCUUAAUUUUUCUGUUUCUAGAUGUCAGCCAGACCUGGAGGUGGACUAUAAUUUACUGACAUACAGUACAUUUUACUAUGUAUAUAUAAAACAUGCCAUCUGCUGAUUCUUAUUAACUGCGUUUGUAUUCAGUGCUUCAACAUGAUUAUUGUAGUAUCUGAGAUAGGCCGAGUGAUGGCUGCAGUUUCCUUAUAGAGUACAGUGACGGUGUAUUGUUUUUAUUCUAGCUAAGUAAAGCUGCAUUGUACUGAAGUUUUAUUUGAAGGUGACUCCUUGUACUUUUCCCAAAGACAUGUAAUAUUUGAGUAAAGCUCAUAACCACAUUAAAAAUGCCUGUUUGAAAAUGUA
Amphiprion ocellaris (clown anemonefish) is the source of this 1515-nucleotide long non-coding RNA. Lineage: Eukaryota; Metazoa; Chordata; Actinopteri; Pomacentridae. The record is from Ensembl.